RNAcentral lists this small nuclear RNA (164 nucleotides) under Strigamia maritima. Its description in RNAcentral is "U1 spliceosomal RNA". It matches the Rfam family "U1 spliceosomal RNA". Rfam says of the family: U1 is a small nuclear RNA (snRNA) component of the spliceosome (involved in pre-mRNA splicing). Its 5' end forms complementary base pairs with the 5' splice junction, thus defining the 5' donor site of an intron. Lineage: Eukaryota; Metazoa; Arthropoda; Chilopoda; Geophilomorpha; Linotaeniidae. The record is from Rfam by way of RNAcentral.
AUACUUACCUGGCGUAGACAACUCCGAGAUCUAUAAUUCGGAUUGUCCAGAGUGAGACCUUUUCAUUGCACUACGAUUGGGUUGACCUUUGCGAUUAUCCCUAAUUGGGGUAACUCGGGCGCAUAAUUUUUGUUAGUGGGGGGUCAGCGUUCGCGCUACCCCUG